This is a long non-coding RNA of Anolis carolinensis (green anole), 3162 nucleotides long. RefSeq lists it as uncharacterized. The transcript is spliced from 3 exons. The record is from RefSeq and is a predicted model, not a curated record. NCBI's taxonomy places the organism in Eukaryota, Metazoa, Chordata, Lepidosauria, Squamata, Anolidae.
UUCCUGUGGGAAGGGAAAGCCUGAAUUAUAUCAAUACGUAGUGAAUAAGGUUUGGUUUCAGUUAAACACAGAUCUCUAUUCCAAGGGCUAGGGUUUAUUGCCAUUAACAGCUCCUCACACACAAGGCUUGAUUUGAGCCAGAGCAGUUGGCUAUUCCAGAACUGGCAGUAGAUUUUGGGAACUGUGUAUACUAGUUGCUUUUUACAACAAGCUCAGUGGUUGUUAACUUUUGAUCUUCUGUGUGUUUAGGCCUUUAACUUCGAGAAGUCCCACCCAGAUUGACUGAUUGUCAGAAAUUCUGGGAACUGAAGUCCAAAACAUCUGAAGGACCAUAGGUUGGGAACCACAGAUCUAGGUCUGUAGCAACAGAAGAUAAAUACUUCAGUAACAAGACUUGCAAAUAUGUCCGUGUUUCACUUCUAAAAAACCAUUUGCAAAGUGGGCCACAGAAAUGCAGGAAGAAGCGGAUUAACUGUAUGGAUGAUUACACUGCAAGUUCUGGAGCCAGUUUGGGGGGAAAGGGUGGCCUCACACUGGUUCCAGGACCCACAGUAUCUGCAGCUUAACAGCCAUGGAGAAUAUCCCCCCCUUCUCCAACUUCCUCCAAUGAAAUAUGUUGGCGUUGUCCUGCUCCAAGCACCUUACUCUCUCCAGGUAGUUUGCUAGCCGGUCAUUGAGGCACUGCAUCAGCUCUUUUUCGUUGCAAUUGAGGAUUCCCUCAUCAUGCCAGCCAUUAUUUCCAGAAAGGAAAGGGGCAAAGGAAGCAUUUGGUGGGCAAAUGCUGGGCAUGUAGUUCCCACAUCCCAGCUUAAUGGAAGAGGAAGAAACACUUCUGCUACCAAAAGCAAGGCUUGGGACUCGGCAUGAGCCACCUGAAUGGACAGAAGCAAUCCGAGUGAGACCGCCACCCUUGACGGAACCAGAAGAAACGGUCUGAGCAUAGUACUUGGAAGCCAUAGCAAUAAGUAGACGAGUGGAACUAGCUAGAGUUUGUUAUUUUAGCAAAUUUACAGGAUAGCUCAAAAGCCCAAGUCACCCAAAAGUAAGCCUGUUAUACCCCACUAGGAUGUUUUUAUACUCCUCAUAUUGGGUGUUGGCAAAUUACAUAGGAUCUUUCUCUUGGGAAAGUUUGUGUCAGGUUCUUUAGGAGCAUCAAAUGGCCUGUUGCUUUAAUUGCCCAUUGGGAACAAACCUUCUCAUUAAAACAGAAAGAGAGAGAGAGAAACAGCUCAGAUAAGUUGGGACUCAUCACUAGUGAUUCUUCACUAUUUAUGAUGUUUGUUUUAUAGCAUCAUCAAAGAGACCUUUCAUCAUAGCUAGACUGCAGGUUUUGCUAGUGGAGCAAGAUGAUAUUACUGGAAACUGGCCUUGGGACUCAGGGGGUUUUCAAUGUGUGCCUUGAUCAUCACAAUAAAUGUGGGAUCAUAAAUGUAUUUGCUAAAUUCCAUUGAAUUUAGUGGAUCAUUUACCAAAUUACAUGAAUAAAUGCAACCUGAAAACUCAUUAAAUGUAGAACAAAUAGAAACAUCAGAUGGAGCCAAUUAUCUAGAAAAGUAUGUGUAUGUGAGGGUCUCCUUCUCUGUAUGACUUCAAAACAGCUAGCUCUAGGUGGAGUUCCUGCAGUGAAUGGGAAUGGUGUUUGAAGUCCACGGUCUAUGGGACUCCUUCCGAUUCUAUGAGAUUAUGGCUGCUUCUACAUAGCCAUUUAUAUAAUGACUGUGUAAAAGAUCAGCAUGUGGUUUUAAAAAAUCAGAUUCACUUCAGAGUGCCUACACAGACACCCCUGAACUAGCUGGAGGCAGUGACAGUGGCUACAAAGAUUUGCUGAGUGUGGAUCAAUCCAAUCUAUAGAUUUUAUUUCUCCUACCUCCUCUGGCUGGGUGUGCUGAUGGAAAACAGCUUCUCAGUGUUUGACUGCAGCAAAACAAGGCAAGAGACAUCAAUCAAGUGUUCCUAUGGGAAUGCUGUGGUUUAUUUUCCAGAGGGGAGAUAUUUGUUUACAUUCUGGUUGAACUGUGUAUCUGGUGUCUUACUCUGACUGCUGCCCUGUCUACAUAAAUGCUCUCCAUUUGGCAUUCCGUUUCCUCCUGUGCAUUGUUUACACACAGAUAAGAGUUGAUCCAACAUUACCAAGGAUUUUUGUAUCACAUUGUUUUCUCACAGGAUUCAUGUUGUAGAUUGCACUGGAGGAUGUAUGAUUUGUAGAUGCCUUAAGCUGCUUCAGACUGGAUUUUAGUGUCUGUGUAGAAGGGCCUCCUGAUCCAGCAAUUCCAGAUUUUUCCAGCGAGCCUCUUCCUAAUGCCUGCUGAACACAUUUUUUCUCCCUGAAACAAAAAGUAAGAUGGCAGCCUCCCCCUGCUUAUCAUCCUUACAACAGAAUUAUAGCACUAUUGCUCAACUCUAAUUGCCAUAGUUCCAUCCUAUAGAAUCCUAUGAUUAAUAGUUUAGGUGAAAGGCAUGGGAAACUCUCAGCCAAAAAAAUCCUCUAAUGCUCCUUCAAAUAAAAAAAAAUGCAGGAUUGUAUAGGACCAGGUCACGGUAGUUUAAGUGGAAUAAGAGCACUAUAAUUCUGUGAUGUGAGUGGGCCCCUGGUUAGAUGUAGAUCAGACUGUCAGUUGGUUCUUAUUUCAAUGCCAAAAACUGGUCUGCAUUUUUCCCAUAUCUUUUACAAAUAUAUAUUUAAUUGAGAAUUAGAAAAUAUAUUAACAUUACAAAAAUUAAAGAAAAGGAAAAAGAUAUAAACAAUUGGGGGGGGGGGAGGUUACGGAUUUAUCCACAUAUGUAAGCAGAUAAUGAUGGGAACAAGAGAGAGGCGGGUGUGGGUCCAAUUCAGGGACAAGGCUCACUCUGCAACUCGGAACCUUUUACGUUAGAGGUACAGACCCUAAAACACCCCCAAUUCAGGAGAAAAAGGAGAGCCAACAGAGUAUAUUCUGCCACUUGAGGCUGCAAACCAGGCAUUCCAACAUGGCAUAAACAAUCUUGAAGAGGCUCUAUGUAAAAAUAAACAAUCACAUUCGUCUUAUUCGUAUUCAAAUUUGCUUUGAUAUUUAAUAAAUUGUGAAAUUAGGUGGUCUAAACAGUUUAGCCAAUAACAUGUCUGCAAAAAGCCCUGAAAUGUGAAAAAUAUUAUAAAUGCAUGUUAGGGAGAAAAAAAAUGAA